Marmota monax (woodchuck) is the source of this 1562-nucleotide non-coding RNA. NCBI's taxonomy places the organism in Eukaryota, Metazoa, Chordata, Mammalia, Rodentia, Sciuridae. The record is from the annotation of a RefSeq genome assembly.
GCAGGUUUAGGUUCAUCAUUUCACUAUGACUUCAACAUUCUUCAGGUUAAGAAUCAAGAACAUUAUUUAACUGACUCUAAAGAUGAAUGCCUCUCCAGCCUUAGUGACUGUGAUGCUCUUGAUACUUGGAAAAACUCAUGCAGACUCAGUGACCCAGAUGGAAAGCCAUGUGACCAUGUCAGAAGGGGCUUUGUUGACUAUAAACUGCACUUACUCAUCCACAAGGUACCCUGCUCUUUUCUGGUACGUUCAAUACCCUGGAGAAGGUCUACAGCUCCUCCUGAAAGCUGUGAAGACCAAUGAUAAGGUCAGCAAUAAAGGUUUUGAAGCCACAUACAAUAAAGAAGCCACUUCUUUCAACUUGGAGAAAGCCUCCAUCCAAGAGUCAGACUCGGCUGUGUACUACUGUGCUCUGGGUGACACAGUGGCAGAAACUGCAGGGGGAGCUGAGCACAAACUCUGAGCAGCCACCAGGGGCCUGGCUGCUGAGCGUCUGCCUCUGGUAUCCAUCCUGGUUUCAGCACAGUUUAUGGUGUCUGCAACAAUGUUUCUCUGGUUGAGGUAAAAUCAAACAAAUAUCCAGAGGAGAAGAACAAAGAGUGGAUGUCUUUUAACUAGGAUCUUCAUUAGUCAAAGGGAAGACAGAGGCCGACACCAUUAGUUCCUCAUGCCCGGCCAAAGUAAUUUCAAGGUAAAAUCACUCGAACAAUGAAGUGGUCUCUUUGAUCAUCCUUGGCAACAAAACCCAGACCCCAUGUGUUGUUCCAGGUCACCCUGGUAGACAUUUCUGUGGCUUGUUAUAUUUUUAGAGAGAUAUAACAGAGAAGAUGGCAUGUGCACAAGGUCUCCCUAACACAGAGUGGAAGGAGAGGUGGUAAGAGAACCAGAGGCCCCACCUCUGAAAUCCACAAGUGGUAAUAGAGUAAGAGGGAAAAGAAGAAAGGAGGAGGAACAGACCUCACAUGCAGCAACAGUGCAAUAAGGGGAAAGGGACUUUCCUCAUGCAGAGGAUGGGCAUCUGUUUUGGUUAAUCAGAUGGUAGCCAUAGGCUAGUGUUAAAAAGAAAGGGAGGGAGGAAAUGCACAAUUAAAAUAUGACCCAUGGUUAAAUGAUGAGCAGCCCUGGACACUUACAUAGUUCAGUUUCUUUCCAAAAAGGCCAACAUGAGUCAGUUUGCAGUGCCCGUGGAAUGUUAAGUAUGUGUGUGUGUGUGUGUGUGUGUGUGUGUGUGUAGAUAUUUGUAACUUCAUGAAACCCCAUUAGAAGGCAGUGAAGAAACUCCAAAGAGCAUAGACACUCAGAAUGUAGGAAAGAAGAUAAUGGAAGUGGUGUCAACUGAGUCUUAGAGAGUGAGAAAUUCAUUGAGAAACUUGCAUCACAGGCCAAGUAAAGAUGGAAGCUGUGCCUAAUGAGAGAGGCCACCAAGGAGCAUCGCUUGGGUUCUGUGCCUUUAUGGAAGGGUUAGGAGUCAGAGCACCAGUUACCCUUAGACCACUGGAGAAAGUGGUGCUAUGUGUGUGUGCGUGCAUGUGUGUGUGUAUAUGUGUGUGUGUGUGUGUGUG